RNAcentral lists this unclassified non-coding RNA (400 nucleotides) under soil metagenome. RNAcentral's name for it is "partial contains 5.8S ribosomal RNA, internal transcribed spacer 2, and large subunit ribosomal RNA". The stretch from base 1 to 122 matches the Rfam family "5.8S ribosomal RNA", at positions 35 to 154 of the family's 154-position model. The record is from RNAcentral.
GAUGAAGAACGUAGCGAAAUGCGAUACUUGGUGUGAAUUGCAGAAUCCCGUGAACCAUCGAGUCUUUGAACGCAAGUUGCGCCUCAAGCCAUUAGGUUGAGGGCACGUCUGCCUGGGCGUCACAUAUCGUUGCCUGAUGCCAGUUUCCUCGUGAUGGGUGACUGUGCAGGGCGAAUGAUGGCUUCCCGUGAGCAUUGUUGCCUCAUGGUCGGUUGAAAAUUGAGUCCUUGGUAGGGAGCGCCGUGAUAGAUGGUGGUUGAGUGACGAACGAGACCCAAUCAUGUGAGACCCCUACCGAAUUUGGCCUUCAUGACCCACAUGCGUCUUUGGAACGCUUAUGACGAGACCUCAGGUCAGGCGGGGCUACCCGCUGAGUUUAAGCAUAUCAAUAAGCGGAGGA